This 1621-nucleotide long non-coding RNA is filed under the name Equus caballus (horse). Its description in RNAcentral is "lncRNA (ENSECAG00000056085.1)". The record is from RNAcentral. Lineage: Eukaryota; Metazoa; Chordata; Mammalia; Perissodactyla; Equidae.
CAGUGCUGUCCUGGGCCUGCACACGGAUCAGCCCACCUGUCCUCACAGCCCCACGAUGACGAGGCCCAGGGGCUGGACAGGCAGGAAAGGGCAGAGCUGGGAUGUGAACCCAGGCACUCCGCUCUAGGGUUCAUGCCCCAGCCCAACUAACUCUGCUUUUCUAUGGCAAUAAUGAGGAUGUUGAGAGUCCAAUAGCCAGCGUUUAAGGGGGCCUGGCUUUGGUCAGGGAUGUGCUAAGAAAUUUGAUUAUUCACACCCUCACGACACACGACUAUAUGUGUGAAUAUUAUGUCAGAUGAGGGCUAAUCGAAAAAACAAAACAAAGGAUAGGGAGUGGCAGGGUGAGCGAGAGGGCAGGUUGUUUAGCAGGAAGAUCCAGGGAGCCUGCUCUAAGGAAGUGAUAUCAAACAGAUUUGAAUUUAUAGCAUAUAAAUGAAAUUAGAAUAUAUGACCUUUUGUAUGUGGCUUCUUUCACUUAGCAAGGUAUUUUCAAAGUUCAUCCACAUUGUAGCAUGUAUCAACAAUUUAUUCCUUUUCAUGACUGAAUAAUAUUCCAUUGUAAGGAUAUACCACAUUGUGUUUAUCCAUUCAUGCGUUGAUAGAUCCAUCUUGGAGAAAGAUCAAUCUUGGAUCAAUCUUGGAGAAAGAUCGGCAAAGACCUAAAGGAUGGAACAGCUCUGGCCAAGGGACUAACACAUGCAGAGGCCUGAGAUGGAGAUGAAAGAGAAGAAUCUGAAGCACAGAGUGGUUAGGUAAGAAGGUCAAGAUUCCACAGCUUGUAAGUUUGGAGCUGGGAUUUGAGUCUGAAAUUUUAAAGGAACAAACAAAACUCUGCUACAGACCUUCUACCAACACCAGCUCUGCCUCGGGCGGCGCUGGUUCGAGCUCCCAGUAGAAGCGCGCACGCUGUUUACACUCUGCAUUUUAGGCGGAGAAGGCUUGAGAAGCGAGGAGACGCCCAGAGAAGGAGGAGGACAAGGAUGUUAGCCCUGGGCACGACAAUCUCAGCUUAAUCCUCUCACAGCCUUUGAGCCUGGUUGGAUUCACAGCCCCGUUUCACCAGUGCGGAAUACUGAGACACACGGAGUUCUUUAAGCUGCCUCAAGUCCUAAGGGGGUCAGGGGGCGGAGCUGGAAUUUGGACCCAGACAGUCUCAGACCAGAUCCAAGGUGUCUACCCACAGGUCCACGUUACUUUUGUCACAGGCCCUGCCGGCGUUUGACUCCACCAACUUAUAAUGCGGUCUCCUCACGUCCCCUCCCUACCUUCCACCUCUGUGGGAGGGGUGAGGCCAUCCAGCCCCGCCGUCCCGCUCCUCUUCCUGUAUCCCUUUGCUCUAGGACAGGCUUUUCCUCUUCCCGUCAGGCUAAAUCCUCAGAGUUUUCUUUCCUCAACACAUCGCCUGUUGCCGAAUCCUGCCAAACUGCCUCAAACCUAUUCAUUUCCUCUUCUCCACACCCUGAGCCCCAUUGACUCUUUCUUUCUCUCACUCACAAACUGGGAACGCAAAGACAAUCAGACAGGGCCCCACCCUCAAAGAGCUUACUGUCCAGCAGAAACCGAUGAGUAGACAAUUGGUAUACGAUGAAUAAGUUCACGGGCAAGGAGAACACAGGGUCAC